This 4824-nucleotide small RNA is filed under the name Pongo abelii (Sumatran orangutan). RNAcentral describes it as "retained intron". The record is from RNAcentral. Lineage: Eukaryota; Metazoa; Chordata; Mammalia; Primates; Hominidae.
GUGUUUGUGUAUGUGUUGUGUCUGUGUACGUAUCUGUGUGUUUAUGUGCAUGUGUAUGUGUGUCUGUGUUUGUGUCUGUUUGUGUGUGUGUUGUGUUUAUGUCUGUGUUAUUUAUGUCGUGUGUGUUUGUGUCUGUGUGCACGUGUAUGUGUGUUUGUGUCUGUGUGUGUGUGUCUUUGUGUUGUGUGUAUGUCUGUGUUGUGUGUAUGUGUUGUGUGUGUUUAGGUCUGUGUUGUGUGUGUAUGUGUUGUGUGUGUUAGGUCUGUGUUGUGUGUGUUGUGUGUGUAUGUGUUGUGUGUGUUUAUGUGUGUGUUGUGUGUGUUUGUGUCUGUGUGUCUGUGUGUUGUUUGUGUGUGUGUGGUUUUCGUGUGUGUGUGUGUGUGUGUGUGUAUGAUUCCUGUGUUGGGAUCAGGUAGAUGCGGGUGAUGUGACUAAGCUCUGGGGCCAUCUCUUAGGGAUUUAAUGGCUUCUUGAGGAGAGACAGUCAUAGGGAAGUUCCGUCGGGGGGUUCCCUGGGUGGGGGCUAGAGGGAGGUGGCACUGGACUCUGCGUGGCGGGCCUGGGGAAGACUUUACCGGAGGUGCAGGCGUAGUGGGAGCCGAACAUUGAAGGAGAAUUCCUCACCCUUCUGCAUCCAGGCAGAGGACCCAGCAUGUGCAAAGCAUGGGCUUAUGAAGAGGAGCCAGGCGUGGCAGGAAGGCCUGUGCCAUGCUUGAGGGUGAACUUGGUUUUGAAGAACAAGGAGGGAGUGAGGUGGUCAUCCACUUUCCCUGUCUGCCCACUCCCUGACCCUUUCCGCACCUGCCCUCUUCCUUCCCAGUCAAAAGGGGUAGGAAGGGCUCUCUCUGGGCCAUGAAAAGAAAUCCAAGCAAGAUGCCCCGGGACAGAGGCAAGAGCAAUGAGUUCCACCCAAUCUGGGAUGUCUGGAAAGAUCCACCGAGGUGGUGACGCUUGAGCUGAACCUUGAAAGAUGCGUGGACGGGGAAAAUGGAGUUCUCCCAGCUGAGCAAACAGCACCUGGGAAGGCUCAGAAGCUGAGGGCCCGGAGGGGUAGGCAGUGAGGUGGCAAACGUGCAUGGAGCCAGGUCAUGGAAGCCUUCCUUAUGCUGGGUUAGGGAGCUGUGGUUUUUAUUCUGUGCUUAUGGCCACCUUGAAUCCAGACUUUGCCUUUUUUUAUUGUUGUUGCUUUUUUUGAGAUGGAGUCUCGCUCUGUCGCCCAGGCUGGAGUGCAGUGGCGCGAUCUCGGCUCACUGCAAGCUCCGCCUCCCAGGUUCAUGCCAUUCUCCUGCCUCAGCCUCCCAAGUAGCUGGGACCACAGGCGUCUGCCACCACACCCGGCUAAUUUUUUGUAUUUUUAGUAAAGACAGGGUUUCACCAUGUUAGCCAGGGUGGUCUCGAUCUCUUGAUCUUGUGAUCCACCAGCCUCGGCCUCCCAAAUUGCUGGGAUUACAGGCGUGAGCCAUCGCGCCGGGCCCAGACUGUGCCUUUUUAAGAUGAGCAAAAGGCACCUUUCCCUGUGGGCAGGCAGCACUUCAUGCAGGGUGCAGUGCUGGGCCCGUGCUGGGGAGAGGGGACUCCCGGGCGGCCACAACCCGCUCAACAUCGGCAGCCCUGGGUGCAUGUCACAGGAGGUGUUUGAACAGGGUUUGUGUCUUGUGCUGAUCAUUUGAAAAUGGAGGGUGGGUUCGAGUGUGGAGUGGGCAGGCGAGGAGUGAGGAGGGACAGACAGGGCUGGGUGGGACCUGACGUCCGGAUGGGCCUUCCCAGGGAGGCUGAGCCGACGUCCGGAUGGGCCCUCUCAGGGAGGCUCACUUAGACCGUGGACCAGAAUCGCGUGGAGAGAGGAACAGGGAGGUUGUUCCCGGGGAAUGACUUGAGCCACCCAGGGGAGAGGCUGUGCUGGGCCCAGGGUGACUGGCCAGCUGGAGCCAAGGGUGAGGGAGUGAGCGUGAGGCCACAGCCCUGAGCAUGCUCCUGACUUUUCCCUUGCCCACCUGCUCCAGAGCUGGGGGACCUCCCUCUGGUCCGCCUGGAUUUCUCCUGUAACCGCGUCUCCCGAAUCCCAGUCUCCUUCUGCCGCCUGAGGCACCUGCAGGUCAUUCUGCUGGACAGCAACCCUCUGCAGAGUCCACCUGCCCAGGUGAGGCAGGUGCCUGGGGGGCCACGGGGACAGGGGUAUGGCUAGGCAGGAGUGGGGUUGGUCCCCUUGGGUAGCUGAGCAGGAUCCAGGGAGCUGCCCUCCCUGCCAACUCCCUGGCGUGUGCUGCCCCGCACACAGGUCUGCCUGAAGGGGAAACUUCACAUCUUCAAGUACUUGUCCACAGAGGCCGGGCAGCGUGGGUCGGCCCUGGGGGACCUGGCCCCUUCUCGGCCCCCGAGUUUCAGUCCCUGGUAAGUCCUAGGUGGGGAGGAAGGAAGCCCUGGGAUACUGAAUGCCCCUUCCCGGCCCCAGGUACCCCCUGCUUUCUGGCAGGAGGAUGGGGGGCUGUUGUCCAGCAUCAGGCUGACCAGAUCCGCUUGGCUGGCCCCAGCCCUGCAGAGGAUCUAUUUCCGGGACAUCGGUACGAUGGCGGGCUGGACUCAGGCUUCCACAGUGUUGAUAGUGGCAGCAAGAGGUGGUCUGGAAAUGAGGUAAGGGCGUCCUGUCCAUGGGAGAUUGAGGGUGUCAGCCCUGGGAGAGCACCUCUGAGCUGGGGACCUCCAAAUUGCAGGGUGCCAGGCAGAGGCUGGAGCUGUCCUCUUCCUUCCCUCUGCCCAGCAUCCCAGGGAAGGGCUGGCUCAGCAGAGACCCUGAGCUUAGUCCCACGCAGGACCCCCCAGGUCCCGAGCCCCCACGUGCAGAGAGGCCAUCUCCUAUCUCUGCCUCUGCCUUUACAGUCAACAGAUGAAUUUUCGGAGCUCUCAUUCCGGAUCUCAGAGCUGGCCCGGGAGCCCCGGGGGCCCAGAGAACGCAAGGAGGACGGCUCAGGUGAGUGGCAGGGCUGGCCGGGAGUUGGGCUGGACCAGGGCCUGGUCCCCGCUCACUUGCUGACAUGCUGGCCUCCCCAGCGGACGGAGACCCUGAGCAGAUUGACUUCAUCGACAGCCACGUCCCCGGGGAGGAUGAAGAGCGAGGCACUGUGGAGGAGCAGCGACCACCCGAAUUAAGCCCUGGGGCAGGGGACAGGGAGAGGGCACCAAGCAGCAGGCGGGAGGAGCCGGCAGGGGAGGAGCGGCGGCGCCCGGACACCUUGCAACUGUGGCAGGAGCGGGAACGGCGGCAGCAGCAGCAGAGCGGGGCGUGGGGGGCCCCGAGGAAGGAUAGGUGGGACCCAGGGCCGCCCGGGGCUGUUGCUGGACACUGAGCCCUGGAAAUGGGGCCACCGAGCCCCGCUGAGCCGUUCUGCCUCGGGACUAGCUGACCCCACCUCUCCUUGUUCCAGCCUCUUGAAGCCAGGGCUCAGGGCUGUUGUGGGAGGGGCCGCCGCUGUGUCCACUCAAGCCAUGCACAAGUAGGUCUCCUGCCAGCAUCCCGUCCCCACUCCUCUUCCUAUAACCAUCCUUCUAAUUCCCUUCUGUCUCUCCUCAGCGGCCCGCCUAAGUCCAGUGCCUCCCAAGCAGGGGCUGCAGCGGGGCAGGGAGCCCCCGCCCCUGCCCCCGCCUCCCAGGAGCCCCUUCCCAUAGCUGGACCAGGUGGGACAGGAAUUUUGGGAGGAGGAUGGGGCCUGUGUUGGUGAGGGCUGGUUGGGAGAGAGGGACAGAGGGGAUGCCUGUCUCACCUGCCCCUGUCGCUGUGUCCCUGGUUCCGGCCCCAGCGAUAGCACCUGCUCCACGGCCGCUUGGCUCCAUUCAGAGACCAAACAGCUUCCUCUUCCGUUCCUCCUCUCAGAGUGGCUCAGGCCCUUCCUCACCAGACUCUGUCCUGAGACCUCGGCGGUCCCCCCAGGUUCCAGAUGAGAAGGACUUAAUGACUCAGCUGCGCCAGGUCCUGGAGUCCCGGCUGCAGCGGCCCCUGCCUGAGGACCUGGCCGAGGCUCUGGCCAGUGGGGUCAUCCUGUGCCAGCUGGCCAACCAGCUACGGCCGCGCUCCGUGCCCUUCAUCCAUGUGCCCUCCCCUGCUGUGCCAAAACUCAGUGCCCUCAAGGCUCGGAAGAAUGUGGAGAGUUUUCUAGAAGCCUGUCGAAAAAUGGGGGUGCCUGAGGCUGACCUGUGCUCGCCCUCGGAUCUCCUCCAGGGCACUGCCCGGGGGCUGCGGACCGCGCUGGAGGCCGUGAAGCGGGUGGGGGGCAAGGCCCUACCGCCCCUCUGGCCCCCCUCUGGUCUGGGCGGCUUCGUCGUCUUCUACGUGGUCCUCAUGCUGCUGCUCUAUGUCACCUACACUCGGCUCCUGGGUUCCUAGGCCCCAAAAUUGGCCGUCCCUCACCCCUUUCCCUCUCCCUCUAUUUAUAAGGCCCCUGCUCCACCCGACCCCACCUGCGGUGCCUUCAGCCCUGACCAAAGACACUAGUGCACCCCCUUCACAGACACUGACCUCAGAGGCCCCACUCUGGUGCCCCCAGACCCUGGGCCCCCAGCCUCUGGCCUCCCUCCAGUAGCCCCACGAGUCCCCACCUCUCAGUGCUGAUGGUGCCUUCAUGUCCCCGCCGGCCCUGCCCCUGCUCUCUGUGCCCCAUGAGGGGUGGCAGGAGCUGGAGUCUCCCCCUUCCUCCUGUGUCCUCCCCUUCCCCCCCAACAGCUGCUAUGGGGGGGCUAAAUGAUCUCUAUUUUGUAGAAAGGAUCUAUAUUUGUAGGGGUGCGGGGCCCAGGCUGGGUCCCUAUCUCUGUGUAUAAACUGUACAGACCGUG